GAGAGAGGCCCGACGGCACUAAAGACUGCUAAUCUUUUACUUCCUUGGUUAAACCCCUUGGCUCCCUUG
This 69-nucleotide transfer RNA is filed under the name Novumbra hubbsi. RNAcentral's name for it is "tRNA-Ser". The record is from RNAcentral. Lineage: Eukaryota; Metazoa; Chordata; Actinopteri; Esociformes; Umbridae.